RNAcentral lists this ribosomal RNA (427 nucleotides) under uncultured bacterium. Its description in RNAcentral is "partial 16S ribosomal RNA". It matches the Rfam family "Bacterial small subunit ribosomal RNA", at positions 355 to 774 of the family's 1533-position model. The record is from RNAcentral.
UGGGGAAUAUUGCACAAUGGGCGCAAGCCUGAUGCAGCCAUGCCGCGUGUAUGAAGAAGGCCUUCGGGUUGUAAAGUACUUUCAGCGGGGAGGAAGGCGAUAAGGUUAAUAACCUUGUCGAUUGACGUUACCCGCAGAAGAAGCACCGGCUAACUCCGUGCCAGCAGCCGCGGUAAUACGGAGGGUGCAAGCGUUAAUCGGACUUACUGGGCGUAAAGCGCACGCAGGCGGUCUGUCAAGUCGGAUGUGAAAUCCCCGGGCUCAACCUGGGAACUGCAUUCGAAACUGGCAGGCUAGAGUCUUGUAGAGGGGGGUAGAAUUCCAGGUGUAGCGGUGAAAUGCGUAGAGAUCUGGAGGAAUACCGGUGGCGAAGGCGGCCCCCUGGACAAAGACUGACGCUCAGGUGCGAAAGCGUGGGGAGCAUACA